This 31-nucleotide non-coding RNA is filed under the name Mus musculus (house mouse). The record is from RNAcentral. Lineage: Eukaryota; Metazoa; Chordata; Mammalia; Rodentia; Muridae.
UCCAGAUGAACAUCUAUGUGCCACGUUUGCC